This is a long non-coding RNA of Vicia villosa (hairy vetch), 396 nucleotides long. RefSeq lists it as uncharacterized. The record is from RefSeq and is a predicted model, not a curated record. The transcript is spliced from 4 exons. Lineage: Eukaryota; Viridiplantae; Streptophyta; Magnoliopsida; Fabales; Fabaceae.
AUAUCUUUGAGCUGUGGCAGUGCUCAAUCUUGACUCUUUAUUGCCCCUGAAACAUUACGAGUCUCUAAUGAUGAUUUUUUUUAUUUCCUGUAGAAUUUGAGGAUGAUCCUGAUCUUUUAUGUGCUGAAACCAAUCAAGUAUGUGGGCAUUGAAGUGUGGCAGGUGAAGGCCGGUUCAAUUUAUGACAACAUCUUAAUUUGUGACGACCCACAGUAUGCAAAGCAAGCUGUGGAAGAAUUUAUGAUUAAUAAUAGAGAGUUGAGAAACAAAUCAGAGGAUUCUGUACUGUUGAAGAGGAGAAGUUGAUGGUCAACACAUUGAAGUUUAACAUAUCUGUGCCAAAAGCAUACAUUUUCAUUAGAAGGUUCCUAAAGGCAGCUCAAGCAGACAGAAAAG